This 2348-nucleotide ribosomal RNA is filed under the name Escherichia coli. RNAcentral describes it as "partial 23S ribosomal RNA". It matches the Rfam family "Bacterial large subunit ribosomal RNA", at positions 588 to 2915 of the family's 2925-position model. Lineage: Bacteria; Pseudomonadati; Pseudomonadota; Gammaproteobacteria; Enterobacterales; Enterobacteriaceae. The record is from RNAcentral.
GGCGUGUGACUGCGUACCUUUUGUAUAAUGGGUCAGCGACUUAUAUUCUGUAGCAAGGUUAACCGAAUAGGGGAGCCGAAGGGAAACCGAGUCUUAACUGGGCGUUAAGUUGCAGGGUAUAGACCCGAAACCCGGUGAUCUAGCCAUGGGCAGGUUGAAGGUUGGGUAACACUAACUGGAGGACCGAACCGACUAAUGUUGAAAAAUUAGCGGAUGACUUGUGGCUGGGGGUGAAAGGCCAAUCAAACCGGGAGAUAGCUGGUUCUCCCCGAAAGCUAUUUAGGUAGCGCCUCGUGAAUUCAUCUCCGGGGGUAGAGCACUGUUUCGGCAAGGGGGUCAUCCCGACUUACCAACCCGAUGCAAACUGCGAAUACCGGAGAAUGUUAUCACGGGAGACACACGGCGGGUGCUAACGUCCGUCGUGAAGAGGGAAACAACCCAGACCGCCAGCUAAGGUCCCAAAGUCAUGGUUAAGUGGGAAACGAUGUGGGAAGGCCCAGACAGCCAGGAUGUUGGCUUAGAAGCAGCCAUCAUUUAAAGAAAGCGUAAUAGCUCACUGGUCGAGUCGGCCUGCGCGGAAGAUGUAACGGGGCUAAACCAUGCACCGAAGCUGCGGCAGCGACGCUGAUGCGUUGUUGGGUAGGGGAGCGUUCUGUAAGCCUGUGAAGGUGUGCUGUGAGGCAUGCUGGAGGUAUCAGAAGUGCGAAUGCUGACAUAAGUAACGAUAAAGCGGGUGAAAAGCCCGCUCGCCGGAAGACCAAGGGUUCCUGUCCAACGUUAAUCGGGGCAGGGUGAGUCGACCCCUAAGGCGAGGCCGAAAGGCGUAGUCGAUGGGAAACAGGUUAAUAUUCCUGUACUUGGUGUUACUGCGAAGGGGGGACGGAGAAGGCUAUGUUGGCCGGGCGACGGUUGUCCCGGUUUAAGCGUGUAGGCUGGUUUUCCAGGCAAAUCCGGAAAAUCAAGGCUGAGGCGUGAUGACGAGGCACUACGGUGCUGAAGCAACAAAUGCCCUGCUUCCAGGAAAAGCCUCUAAGCAUCAGGUAACAUCAAAUCGUACCCCAAACCGACACAGGUGGUCAGGUAGAGAAUACCAAGGCGCUUGAGAGAACUCGGGUGAAGGAACUAGGCAAAAUGGUGCCGUAACUUCGGGAGAAGGCACGCUGAUAUGUAGGUGAAGUCCCUCGCGGAUGGAGCUGAAAUCAGUCGAAGAUACCAGCUGGCUGCAACUGUUUAUUAAAAACACAGCACUGUGCAAACACGAAAGUGGACGUAUACGGUGUGACGCCUGCCCGGUGCCGGAAGGUUAAUUGAUGGGGUUAGCGCAAGCGAAGCUCUUGAUCGAAGCCCCGGUAAACGGCGGCCGUAACUAUAACGGUCCUAAGGUAGCGAAAUUCCUUGUCGGGUAAGUUCCGACCUGCACGAAUGGCGUAAUGAUGGCCAGGCUGUCUCCACCCGAGACUCAGUGAAAUUGAACUCGCUGUGAAGAUGCAGUGUACCCGCGGCAAGACGGAAAGACCCCGUGAACCUUUACUAUAGCUUGACACUGAACAUUGAGCCUUGAUGUGUAGGAUAGGUGGGAGGCUUGGAAGUGUGGACGCCAGUCUGCAUGGAGCCGACCUUGAAAUACCACCCUUUAAUGUUUGAUGUUCUAACGUUGACCCGUAAUCCGGGUUGCGGACAGUGUCUGGUGGGUAGUUUGACUGGGGCGGUCUCCUCCUAAAGAGUAACGGAGGAGCACGAAGGUUGGCUAAUCCUGGUCGGACAUCAGGAGGUUAGUGCAAUGGCAUAAGCCAGCUUGACUGCGAGCGUGACGGCGCGAGCAGGUGCGAAAGCAGGUCAUAGUGAUCCGGUGGUUCUGAAUGGAAGGGCCAUCGCUCAACGGAUAAAAGGUACUCCGGGGAUAACAGGCUGAUACCGCCCAAGAGUUCAUAUCGACGGCGGUGUUUGGCACCUCGAUGUCGGCUCAUCACAUCCUGGGGCUGAAGUAGGUCCCAAGGGUAUGGCUGUUCGCCAUUUAAAGUGGUACGCGAGCUGGGUUUAGAACGUCGUGAGACAGUUCGGUCCCUAUCUGCCGUGGGCGCUGGAGAACUGAGGGGGGCUGCUCCUAGUACGAGAGGACCGGAGUGGACGCAUCACUGGUGUUCGGGUUGUCAUGCCAAUGGCACUGCCCGGUAGCUAAAUGCGGAAGAGAUAAGUGCUGAAAGCAUCUAAGCACGAAACUUGCCCCGAGAUGAGUUCUCCCUGACUCCUUGAGAGUCCUGAAGGAACGUUGAAGACGACGACGUUGAUAGGCCGGGUGUGUAAGCGCAGCGAUGCGUUGAGCUAACCGGUACUAAUGAACCGUGAGG